This 313-nucleotide ribosomal RNA is filed under the name uncultured microorganism. Its description in RNAcentral is "bacterial SSU rRNA". It matches the Rfam family "Archaeal small subunit ribosomal RNA", at positions 330 to 645 of the family's 1478-position model. The record is from RNAcentral.
GUGCAGCAGGCGCGAAACUUUACAAUGUGCGAAAGCACGAUAAGGGAACUCUGAGUGCCUCCUAAGGAGGCUGUUCAGGUGUCUAAAAGCACCUGAAGGAAGGGCUGGGUAAGACCGGUGCCAGCCGCCGCGGUAACACCGGCAGCCCAAGUGGUAGCCACGUUUAUUGGGUCUAAAGCGUCCGUAGCCGGCUGGGUAAGUUCCUUGGGAAAUUUGGCUGCUUAACAGUCAAGCUUUUCAAGGGGAAUACUGCCCGGCUUGGGGACCGGGAGAGGUCAGAGGUACUCCGAGGGGUAGGGGUGAAAUCCAUUAA